AUACGUAGGGAGCGAGCGUUGUCCGGAAUUACUGGGUGUAAAGGGUGCGUAGGCGGGACUGCAAGUCAGAUGUGAAAUGCCGGGGCUCAACCCCGGAGCUGCAUUUGAAACUGUGGUUCUUGAGUGAAGUAGAGGUAAGCGGAAUUCCUAGUGUAGCGGUGAAAUGCGUAGAUAUCAGGAGGAACACCGGUGGCGAAGGCGGCUUACUGGGCUUUUACUGACGCUGAGGCUCGAAAGCGUGGGGAGCAAACAGGAUUAGAUACCCUGGUAGUCCACGCUGUAAACGAUGAUUACUAGGUGUGGGGGGACUGACCCCUUCCGUGCCGCAGUUAACACAAUAAGUAAUCCACCUGGGGAGUACGGCCGCAAGGUUGAAACUCAAAUGAAUUGACGGGG
This 396-nucleotide ribosomal RNA is filed under the name uncultured bacterium. Its description in RNAcentral is "partial 16S ribosomal RNA". It matches the Rfam family "Bacterial small subunit ribosomal RNA", at positions 523 to 918 of the family's 1533-position model. The record is from RNAcentral.